Molecule: ribosomal RNA, 491 nt
Filed under: uncultured bacterium
Lineage: Bacteria
Description: partial 16S ribosomal RNA
Rfam family: Bacterial small subunit ribosomal RNA
Source: RNAcentral
AUGAACGCUAGCUACAGGCUUAACACAUGCAAGUCGAGGGGAAACGACAUCGAAAGCUUGCUUUUGAUGGGCGUCGACCGGCGCACGGGUGAGUAACGCGUAUCCAACCUGCCCAUCACUUGGGAAUAACCUUGCGAAAGUAAGACUAAUACCCAAUGAUAUCCCACGAAGGCAUCGGAAUGGGAUUAAAGAUUUAUCGGUGAUGGAUGGGGAUGCGUCUGAUUAGCUUGUUGGCGGGGUAACGGCCCACCAAGGCAACGAUCAGUAGGGGUUCUGAGGGGAAGGUCCCCCACAUUGGAACUGAGACACGGUCCAAACUCCUACGGGAGGCAGCAGUGAGGAAUAUUGGUCAAUGGGCGAGAGCCUGAACCAGCCAAGUAGCGUGCAGGAAGACGGCCCUAUGGGUUGUAAACUGCUUUUAUAAGGGAAUAAAGUGGGUCACGUGUGACUUUUUGCAUGUACCUUAUGAAUAAGGACCGGCUAAUUCCGUG